UGGAGGACUGAGAAGAUAAGGCAGUUAAUCUGUACUGCAUCUUAUUGGUUAAAACCUCCAAAAUCAAAACUGCAAAAGCAAGUCAUGUUCCUCUUACCUGAGAGAGAACACUACUGCUGUUUGCAUACA
Hemicordylus capensis (graceful crag lizard) is the source of this 129-nucleotide small nucleolar RNA. RefSeq annotates it as small nucleolar RNA SNORA47. The transcript has a single exon. The record is from RefSeq and is a predicted model, not a curated record. Lineage: Eukaryota; Metazoa; Chordata; Lepidosauria; Squamata; Cordylidae.